This 55-nucleotide transfer RNA is filed under the name Uncinaria sanguinis. RNAcentral's name for it is "tRNA-Phe". Lineage: Eukaryota; Metazoa; Nematoda; Chromadorea; Rhabditida; Ancylostomatidae. The record is from RNAcentral.
AUCUUAAUAGUUUAAUUUUAAAAUAUAACUCUGAAGAGGUUAAGAUUUUUAAGAU